UUUAAUUCGAAGCAACGCGAAGAACCUUACCAAAUCUUGACAUCCUCUGACCCCUCUAGAGAUAGAGUUUUCCCCUUCGGGGGACAGAGUGACAGGUGGUGCAUGGUUGUCGUCAGCUCGUGUCGUGAGAUGUUGGGUUAAGUCCCGCAACGAGCGCAACCCUUAAGCUUAGUUGCCAUCAUUAAGUUGGGCACUCUAAGUUGACUGCCGGUGACAAACCGGAGGAAGGUGGGGAUGACGUCAAAUCAUCAUGCCCCUUAUGAUUUGGGCUACACACGUGCUACAAUGGACAAUACAAAGGGCAGCGAAACCGCGAGGUCAAGCAAAUCCCAUAAAGUUGUUCUCAGUUCGGAUUGUAGUCUGCAACUCGACUACAUGAAGCUGGAAUCGCUAGUAAUCGUAGAUCAGCAUGCUA
This 415-nucleotide ribosomal RNA is filed under the name uncultured Bacillota bacterium. RNAcentral's name for it is "bacterial SSU rRNA". It matches the Rfam family "Bacterial small subunit ribosomal RNA", at positions 945 to 1359 of the family's 1533-position model. Lineage: Bacteria; Bacillati; Bacillota. The record is from RNAcentral.